AAUUUUUAAAGAUUUAAAAAUUUUUAAUUAAAUUUUUUUUUUAGGGCUGGACUCUUGGUCUGUCGUCCAGGAUAGAGGGCAGGGAUGCCAUCACUACUCACUAUAACCUCAAACUCCUGGGCUCAAGCAAUCCUCCCACCUCAGCCUCCGGAGUAGCCGGGACUACAGGCAUGCCCCACCACAUUCGGCUAAUUUUUAAAAUUUUUUUGUAGAGACAGGGUCUCACUAUAUUGUCCAGGCUGCUCUCAAAAUCCUGGCCUAAAGUGAUCCUCCUGCCUCAGCCUCCUGAGUAGCUGGGUUAGAUCCUGGCAAAUGAAAGGGCCCCCAGCUUUGACCUACCUUUGGGGAAGAUCUCACUGCACACAGGUUCUCACACAGCACACCCCGUCACACACAUGAACUCACACCGAGAACAUAUGAACACUACACACAUGUUCUCACACAGCACACCCUGUCACACAUAUGAACUCACACUGAGAACACGGGCAUCACACAUAGGGACUCACACAUAGAGGGCAUAUGAACACUACACACAUGUUCUCACACAGCACACACCCCGUCACACCCAUGAACUCACACCGAGAACACAACAUCACACACAGGGACUCACGCACAGAGGACAUGUGAACACUACACACACGUUCUCACACAGCACACACCCCGUCACACCCACACCCCCACAUGCGUAGACACACACAUCCUUACUCUGCGUGCAUCCCUGGCCUGGUGGACGGAAGAUCGAGCGCUCCGGGUGGACUUACGGCCACAGGACGGGGGCAGAGUCGGCAGGGAGGCCCCUCCGAGGCCCAGUGGGCCCCGCGCUGGCCCCGGCCGCAGACGCCCACCUGCUGCUGUGCUGGCUGCGGCGUGUGCCCCGGGCUCUGCGGCUGACCUGGCCUCCACGUCUCACCCAUGAAGCAGGCAUGAAAGGCUGGCCAGGUUGGCUAAAUGGGACCACAGCAGAAGCAUGAGCCCCAGAAUGUGCACGAAGGAAGAGAGAGCCGGGGGAGGUGGCGGGCUGGGUGUGCAGAGUGGGCCUGAGCUCCGGCCUCCUCCCUGGACGCCCUCCCGUGGCCGCAGCCAUCCCUGCACCCACUGGUGUGGCCUGACCCCUCACCCUGAGCCCACCCUUCGCGGCCACUAGGGAACCUCAGGAGAGGCCGCUGUGGUGGGGUGGGCGGAUCCCCCCGGAGCAGGCCCAGGCCCCUGCUCCUGAGCUCUCCGGCAGCGCCGCCUGCUGGCCACAGAGAGCCCACGUGCGCCAGCCGCCAGGCCUGGGCAUCUCCCCUCCUGCAGCGCCGCCUGCUGGCCACAGAGAACCCACGUGCGCCGGCCGCCAGGCCUGGGCAUCUCCUCUCCUGCAGCGCCGCCUGCUGGCCACAGAGAACCCGCGUGCGCCGGCCGCCAGGCCUGGGCAUCUCCUCUCCUGCAGCGCCGCCUGCUGGCCACAGAGAACCCGCGUGCGCCGGCCGCCAGGCCUGGGCAUCUCCUCUCCUGCAGCGCCGCCUGCUGGCCACAGAGAACCCGCGUGCGCCGGCCGCCAGGCCUGGGCAUCUCCUCUCCUGCAGCGCCGCCUGCUGGCCACAGAGAACCCGCGUGCGCCGGCCGCCAGGCCUGGGCAUCUCCUCUCCUGCAGCGCCGCCUGCUGGCCACAGAGAACCCGCGUGCGCCGGCCGCCAGGCCUGGGCAUCUCCUCUCCUGCAGCGCCGCCUGCUGGCCACAGAGAACCCGCGUGCGCCGGCCGCCUGGCCUGGGCAUCUCCUCUCCUGCAGCGCCGCCUGCUGGCCACAGAGAACCCGCGUGCGCCGGCCGCCAGGCCUGGGCAUCUCCCCGGGCCCUAGUUCCCCCCCUCACCUAAGGGGAGGGACUCCCGUCUUUCCAUCCACCCCCUCCUUGCCUCUGCAGAGCUCCAGGGAAGGCUGGCACCCGCUCACUGCAUUUAGACUCCAUCAGGUUCAGACAGUGGGUCAGGGUACAAGGCUUCAGCGGCCAGGGAUGUGGCCUCUAAUUUGUAGAGAGAAAGAAGGGCAGAGGCAAAGGUUUGGGCCCAGGGACUGGGCUCCGUUUCCAGAAUCACUCUUGGAGCUGGUGAGCAGAGGGCUGGACACUGCCCUCCAUGACCAGCACUGCCCUCCACCCUAGCUCACUCCCCUAGCCGGCCCAGGGGUUCAGGCUUUCCUUUCAUAAAGUGGGGUCCAGGAAAGGCAAAACCUCCUCCCCUGGGCCACACGAACCGUGGUGCACAGGCUCCCACUAGGUGGGCCAGUCAGCUCAUCCCAUGGACACACCAGGGGCAUCGAGAAAGGAAUAGCGACCUGAACCCCAUACCCGAAGGGUGGCCCUCAGGACCCCCAAGGCAGGGAACAGGCUGCAGAGGGUUUGGGGGAGCAUCUUGGUGCAUAGAAAACAAACACUCUGGGAAGCCGCUGUGAGUGUGUGUGGCCCUCAGGCCUGUUCUGUCCUGGGUGCGCUGCGUUCCCCAGGCGGCACCAUCUCUCUGCCUCUGUACCCUUGAAUUCCCUCUGCCUGCACCCGGUCCCCACCCACCUCCUGCCCAGCCCCACAAGCCCUUCCAGACCACUGCUGGGGCAUUCCUGGGCCCCCUCGGUUCUUGGUGACUACCAUGCAGUUCUCUAUGGAAACUGACUCUCACUGAAAACAAGUGUAACCGUCUACCUAAGAGACUCACACAGAGUUCUCAGCCAGGUCUCCAGGACAAUCAGACGCAACUUGUCAUUCUCACUCAUCCCAUCACCCGACUAGCUUCUCAGCCCAGCCCCGGGGGAGGUUUUCCCCUUACUUGAAAUGCCUCUUGGAUUUGAAAAAUCCCAGCAUUCACCCCUGGUGCCGACACUUGCCUCUGUAACCUUCUGCCUGCUGCUUUGCUCUCAUCCAGACCGGUUGGCACUUGGCCCCCUCUGGCCAGCUGGUUCCCCAGAGACAACCAUCUUGCCCACCUGUGGAAGGCCCCAUGGCCUGCCUCACCCCUCACUCCCAUUUCACAGCUCUCGUCGUGCUCUACAAGAAAAAUCUGCUUUAUAGAUGAGGAAAGGCCCUUGGGGCAGACAAGACAGUCCCUG
Molecule: long non-coding RNA, 3080 nt
Filed under: Homo sapiens (human)
Lineage: Eukaryota; Metazoa; Chordata; Mammalia; Primates; Hominidae
Description: HSALNT0117416
Source: RNAcentral